This 478-nucleotide ribosomal RNA is filed under the name uncultured bacterium. RNAcentral describes it as "partial 16S ribosomal RNA". It matches the Rfam family "Bacterial small subunit ribosomal RNA", at positions 28 to 523 of the family's 1533-position model. The record is from RNAcentral.
GACGAACGCUGGCGGCGUGCUUAACACAUGCAAGUCGAACGGUAAGGCCCUUCGGGGUACACGAGUGGCGAACGGGUGAGUAACACGUGGGUGAUCUGCCCUGCACUUCGGGAUAAGCCUGGGAAACUGGGUCUAAUACCGGAUAGGACUCCUGGCUUCAUGGUUGGGGGUGGAAAGCUUUUGCGGUGUGGGAUGGGCCCGCGGCCUAUCAGCUUGUUGGUGGGGUAAUGGCCCACCAAGGCGACGACGGGGAGCCGGCCUGAGAGGGUGACCGGUCACACUGGGACUGAGAUACGGCCCAGACUCCUACGGGAGGCAGCAGUGGGGAAUAUUGCACAAUGGGCGCAAGCCUGAUGCAGCGACGCCGCGUGAGGGAUGACGGCCUUCGGGUUGUAAACCUCUUUCAGCUAUGACGAAGCGCAAGUGACGGUAGUAGCAGAAGAAGGACCGGCCAACUACGUGCCAGCAGCCGCGGUAA